Molecule: small RNA, 2014 nt
Filed under: Pongo abelii (Sumatran orangutan)
Lineage: Eukaryota; Metazoa; Chordata; Mammalia; Primates; Hominidae
Description: retained intron
Source: RNAcentral
ACUCCUUGCGCUUGUAAAUCGUGCGGGGCUGGGAGACGGGAGCUGGGCCCGGAGCUGGCCUGGCGGGCGGAUGGGUGUGGGUGGAGGCAUGUUGGGAAUCCUGGUGCAGAGUGGGCCAGCUGUGGCCUCGGGGCUCGCCACCGCGGAGGACUCCGCCUGGGCCUAGGUCACCAUCUCUAGGAAAUGGCUCCUUCCUGCGUGCGCGAGUUGUGAGAUUACUAGUAAGAGCCGCGCUUGUGAAGACGCAGUGCCCAGUUAGUUUGCGCCAGCCUCUGAGUUCAGCUCAGAACACAGAUGAUCUCAUUGAUUCCUCACGUCAACCUUGGGAAAUCUGGGUACUCUGGGAGGUCCACACAUGAGGACCGAGGCUCAGGGACAUCAAGGGACUGGCCUGGUCCCAGAAACAGGGAGUAAAAUGGGAAGUAAACUCAGUCCCACGUCUGCCUGACUCCAGAGUUUGGGCCACUGAACCAUGCGGCUGCCAUCUUGGAGUUCUUUGAGCUGUGAAGUGCUGUGCAUCGUGUGAUUGUAUGUCCCUUUUAUGCAGGUACCAGGAUUUCUAUGCAUUCGACCUCUCAGGAGCGACUCGAGUCCUUGAAUGGAUUGAUGACAAAGGAGUCUUUGUUGCUGGCUAUGAAAGCCUGAAAAAGAAUGAAAUUCUUCAUCUGAAAUUACCUCUCAGACUUUCUGUAAACGAAAACAAGGGCUUAUUCCCAGAAAGAGAUUUCAAAGUGCGCCAUGGAGGAUUUUCAGACAGGUCUAUCUUUGAUCUAAAGCACGUGCCACAUACCAGAUUGUUGGUUACCAGUGGCCUUCCAGGUUGUUACCUGCAGGUGUGGCAGGUUGCAGAGGACAGUGAUGUCAUUAAAGCUGUCAGCACCAUUACUGUGCACGAGAAAGAGGAGAGUCUCUGGCCUAGGGUGGCCGUCUUCUCCGCAGUGGCACCCAGAGUCCUCCAUGGGGCGAGGCUCCGCAGUCUGCAGGUCGUUGAUCUGGAGUCCCGGAAGACCACGUACACCUCAGAUGUCAGUGACAGUGAGGAGCUGAGUAGCCUGCAGGUCCUAGAUGCAGACACCUUUGCCUUCUGCUGUGCUUCAGGCCAGCUGGGGCUUGUUGACACCCGCCAGAAGUGGGCACCGUUGGAGAAUCGCAGCCCUGGCCCUGGGUCUGGUGGAGAGAGAUGGUGUGCUGAAGUUGGGAGCUGGGGCCAGGGCCCUGGGCCCAGCAUUGCCAGCCUUGGCUCAGAUGGGCGUCUUUGUCUUCUUGAUCCCCGGGAUCUCUGCCAUCCUGUGAGCUCAGUCCAGUGCCCAGUAUCCAUACCUAGCCCUGACCCAGAGCUGCUGCGAGUGACUUGGGCCCCAGGCCUGAAGAAUUGCUUGGCCAUCUCAGGUUUUGAUGGUACAGUCCAGGUCUAUGAUGCCACAUCUUGGGAUGGAACACGGAGCCAAGUAGAACCUCUCUUCACUCACAGAGGUCACAUCUUCCUAGAUGGAAACGGGAUGGACCCUGCUCCUUUGGUCACCACCCACACCUGGCAUCCCUGCAGACCAAAGACUUUGUUAUCAGCAACAAAUGAUGCCUCUCUGCAUGUGUGGGACUGGGUGGACCUUCGUGCCCCCCACUGACACCAGCAUCUUUUCAUCCUGGCCUCUAGAAAGGGGAGGAGCUGCUGUAGUAGCAAAGGUACUGAUGUAGGACUCAAGUGACUGCCAGUCCCUGUUACCAGCUGUGUGGCCUUGGGCAAGUCCACCAGCGUCACUUAGCCUCAGUUUCCUUAUCUGUAAAAUGAGGAUAGUAAGAACUACCUCGUAGUGAUAUUGCGAAGGUUAGAAGAAACGCAUGGCUUAAUUACUUGGUAGCUAUUGUUAGAUCUGGGAGUGUAAAAUGGCAGCGUUUUGUCCCUGUCUUCACACUAUCAUAGGAAGAAUCAAAAGAGCUAACAAAUAUAAACGUGCUUUGUGAAUUUUUUUAAAGAAAAAAAUGUAGAGGGGCCAAUAAACAUGAAAAAAAUCCC